GGGGCAUCUGGGGACCAAGCCCAGGGUCCUGUCCUCAUUACUUAGACACUUCAGACUCAGUUAUAAAGGAGAUUGAGUGGUCUCCUGGAAGGGUGAGGUCUGCCCGGAAUGUCUGAGCGGCCCCAGGCAGAGAGCAGCAUUGGCUGGGCUGCGUGGCCUAUGUGGAGUUCUCACAGAUCUUCGGCAUUUCAAAGGCAGCCCUGAGGUAGCUUUCAAGACAAGUUAGCUUCCAACCCGCUUGCUGCUCCCAAAUUCCUGCUAAACGGAAACUUCGGGGCGUCCCCGCUCCAGGAAAGCCCUGGGAGAAAGAAGUUCCUGUUGGAUUAAAGCCUUACAUUUGGGAAGUUAGCCCCUCUCUUCGAGCCUCAGUUCUCCCUUUGCAAUGGGAAACUCAUCUCUGCCCCCUCAGGAUGAGUUGCAUAGCUCCUCAGCAUGCUGCAUGUGGAGAUUUCUGAGCUCUCAGAACACAGCAGUUCUCAACUAGGAGUGGAUGUCAGAAUCGCCUUGUGGGAUGCCUCCACAGCAUGGCUGAUGAGUGGAGUAGGUCCACACUCUGGUCGAACCCGAGAACCUGCACUCCACUUUGGAACUUUAACCACUGGGCCACUGGGCAGGCCCUAAAUACCAGU
This 629-nucleotide long non-coding RNA is filed under the name Equus caballus (horse). Its description in RNAcentral is "lncRNA (ENSECAG00000042033.2)". Lineage: Eukaryota; Metazoa; Chordata; Mammalia; Perissodactyla; Equidae. The record is from RNAcentral.